AUGACUACUACCAAGAGGCCGGCGCUUUCUUCACCCGUACCGACAACACUCUCCUCGACAUCCAGAAUACGCAAGCAGAACAUGGACGACUCCUGGAAUAGCAACAAAAAUGGAACCAGGACCACGCCGCUGCAGUACAAGAACUAAGACAAGACACCACAACAAUGAACGACAACAUCACCACCAUGAUGCGAUUCUGGAACAUCGGGUAAGACCGACAUUCACA
This 226-nucleotide long non-coding RNA is filed under the name Sorghum bicolor (sorghum). RNAcentral's name for it is "long non-coding RNA (SBIC_LNC012331)". Lineage: Eukaryota; Viridiplantae; Streptophyta; Magnoliopsida; Poales; Poaceae. The record is from RNAcentral.